This 433-nucleotide ribosomal RNA is filed under the name uncultured bacterium. RNAcentral's name for it is "partial 16S ribosomal RNA". It matches the Rfam family "Bacterial small subunit ribosomal RNA", at positions 29 to 507 of the family's 1533-position model. The record is from RNAcentral.
AACGAACGCUGGCGGCAUGCCUAACACAUGCAAGUCGAACGAGACCUUCGGGUCUAGUGGUGCACGGGUGCGUAACGCGUGGGAACCUGCCCUUAGGUUCGGAAUAACUCCCCGAAAGGGGUGCUAAUACCGGAUAAUGUCUUCGGACCAAAGAUUUAUCGCCUUUGGAUGGGCCCGCGUUGGAUUAGCUAGUUGGUAGGGUAAAAGCCUACCAAGGCGACGAUCCAUAGCUGGUCUGAGAGGAUGAUCAGCCACACUGGGACUGAGACACGGCCCAGACUCCUACGGGAAGCAGCAGUGGGGAAUAUUGGACACUGGGCGAAAGCCUGAUCCAGCAAUGCCGCGUGAGUGAUGAAGGCCUUAGGGUUGUAAAGCUCUUUUACCCGGGAUGAUAAUGACAGUACCGGGAGAAUAAGCUCCGGCUAACUCCGUG